GACGAACGCUGGCGGCGUGCUUAACACAUGCAAGUCGAACGGAAAGGCCCUGCUUUUGUGGGGUGCUCGAGUGGCGGACGGGUGAGUAACACGUGAGUAACCUGCCCUUGACUUUGGGAUAACUUCAGGAAACUGGGGCUAAUACCGGAUAGGAGCUCCUGCUGCAUGGUGGGGGUUGGAAAGUUUCGGCGGUUGGGGAUGGACUCGCGGCUUAUCAGCUUGUUGGUGGGGUAGCGGCUUACCAAGGCUUUGACGGGUAGCCGGCCUGAGAGGGUGACCGGCCACAUUGGGACUGAGAUACGGCCCAGACUCCUACGGGAGGCAGCAGUGGGGAAUAUUGCACAAUGGGCGGAAGCCUGAUGCAGCAACGCCGCGUGCGGGAUGACGGCCUUCGGGUUGUAAACCGCUUUCGCCUGUGACGAAGCGUGAGUGACGGUAAUGGGUAAAGAAGCACCGGCUAACUACGUG
RNAcentral lists this ribosomal RNA (468 nucleotides) under uncultured bacterium. Its description in RNAcentral is "partial 16S ribosomal RNA". It matches the Rfam family "Bacterial small subunit ribosomal RNA", at positions 28 to 507 of the family's 1533-position model. The record is from RNAcentral.